GCGGAUGUGGCGGAAUUGGCAGACGCGCAGGCUUCAGGUGCCUGUGGGCUUUAAGCUCGUGGAGGUUCGAGUCCUCUCAUCCGCA
Molecule: transfer RNA, 85 nt
Filed under: Planctomycetota bacterium
Lineage: Bacteria; Pseudomonadati; Planctomycetota
Also listed under: 1 other name
Description: Planctomycetes bacterium tRNA-Leu
Rfam family: tRNA
About the family: Transfer RNA (tRNA) molecules are approximately 80 nucleotides in length. Their secondary structure includes four short double-helical elements and three loops (D, anti-codon, and T loops).
Source: RNAcentral